Molecule: ribosomal RNA, 465 nt
Filed under: Vreelandella stevensii
Lineage: Bacteria; Pseudomonadati; Pseudomonadota; Gammaproteobacteria; Oceanospirillales; Halomonadaceae
Description: partial 16S ribosomal RNA
Rfam family: Bacterial small subunit ribosomal RNA
Source: RNAcentral
CCUACGGGGGGCAGCAGUGGGGAAUAUUGGACAAUGGGGGGAACCCUGAUCCAGCCAUGCCGCGUGUGUGAAGAAGGCCCUCGGGUUGUAAAGCACUUUCAGUGAGGAAGAACGCCUGGUGGUUAAUACCCAUCAGGAAAGACAUCACUCACAGAAGAAGCACCGGCUAACUCCGUGCCAGCAGCCGCGGUAAUACGGAGGGUGCGAGCGUUAAUCGGAAUUACUGGGCGUAAAGCGCGCGUAGGUGGCUUGAUAAGCCGGUUGUGAAAGCCCAGGGCUCAACCUGGGAACGGCAUCCGGAACUGUCAAGCUAGAGUGCAGGAGAGGAAGGUAGAAUUCCCGGUGUAGCGGUGAAAUGCGUAGAGAUCGGGAGGAAUACCAGUGGCGAAGGCGGCCUUCUGGACUGACACUGACACUGAGGUGCGAAAGCGUGGGUAGCAAACAGGAUUAGAUACCCCAGUAGUC